UUCCAUGUGCAUGCUCUGCCUUCUGGAUGUAGUACACACCACACAUCCUACAAAUGUGGGGUGCCUCCUGUUGAGGGCUUUGAGAACCACAAUCUUUUCUCUGAUCAUUCCAGAACCUCAGGAAAUUAUUCCUUUCCCUAAAUCCUUUGGGUUGCAUUUUGAGCCCCUUUCCUCCUGGUUUAUCAUGAGAGCCAAGAGAACAACAAAACUCACAAACUCAAACAAAAAAAAGUUAAUAGACUUUUGGGCUGAGGCUCCAGAAAUCCAGAAAAAGAUUCCUUUCUCCUCCCUUUCAACAGAAGAGGAAAGCAGAAGAGAAAACAUCCAUCAAAUACACGUUUAAUAUAGCUCAUCUCAUUCAAUCUCCAGUGCCCUAGAAAGGAAUUAUUAUCCUGAGUUUUCAGUUGAGGAGGGAGCCACCCUUUCUAGGGAAGUCAGGAGUCUGGUUACACUUGUUCCUCCACCCGGAAGCCACUCCCACAGCCACCUGAAGAAAGCCCCAGAACCAGCUAGAAUAGGUAAGAGGACAUUCUGGAACCUCCAUCUGGAAAGCUGGCCCUUCUUCUUCUGGCUCAGCAGCUCUCAACCCAGAACCAUCACCACUGCCACUCCCCCCACCAGGAUCAUCUGCACAUGCGCACACACACACACACACACACACACACACACACACACCCUCCUACCACACGAUUACCCUGGGGCCAAAAGGGCAAAAGGAGGGGAACUCCCCAGGAAGGUGGAGGAUGGUAUAGAAGAUGAAAAGGGCACACUCUCCUGGACAGACAGGUGCCAGACCUCAGGACAAGAAAUACAGCUGCUCAUGUCACAGUUCCUCAGUGUCCAGGAAGCUGCUCCAGACACAAUCAUCAGGCCUGUUUGGGGGCCCAGGUGGGUGGGAACAAUUGGCCUGUCUCCUCUGGGCUGCAGGGAGCAGACCCCUUCCAUUCACACAGCCUUCUGAGGGUUGAGGGAGACCAGGAAAGACCAGGCCAGUGCUCUCCAGAGAAGAGAGGACCCCAGCGCCACCCUGCAUUCUGCGCCGGCCACUGUGCCAUCCCAGGCCUCUGCGCCAACUCAUGGUCUCUGACCUCUCUGCCUUGAAGUGGGUGGAACGACCAGAUACUGGAAACCUGUGUUUAGGGAGAACAGCAAGGGGGGCAGGGGUGACGGCAGAAGGAGCACGGAUCACACCCCCAGGUCUCCCUAGCUCUGGGGCUUGGAGCAGGAGGGGGUCUCGCUCCACCUCUUGACUUGCCAGUGUUAGAAGGGGUGGGAUGUCUGGGAAUGACGCUUGCUUAUUUUUCAAUUGGCUCUUUUCUCCUCAGAAGGUGAAACCUCUGGGCAAAGUAUCCAAGGGUUACGGCUGCUCAGCCAUAGGACCCACGGGCUAGUGCCAGAUCCUGGACCUACCUUUACAGAACUGAGUGAUUAUGCGAGUGUUUUGCUAACAACAGCCACAAAAGUUCUCCUCCACUGGGAAUUCUGCCUCCAGCUUUAAGGUAACAUGCUUUCUUUUUUCUCAGAUAUGUUGGUUCUUCACUCUGCACUUCCCUUGUUUCUCAAGAUAGCCUAAAAUGAAUGAGCUGGCCAAACCGGCCUACCAUCUUCUACAGACUUCCCAAGUCCCCGGUGCAUUUCUUCCCUCACAGGCCAUUUUUCUUAACAAUCUGAAACCAACUGUGCCCACCCAUUUCCCCUCCAUGUCCUUCCUAUGUCUUUCCUUCAAUCGGCUUAUUUAUGAAGUCUUCCAAAAUCACUAUUGCAUCAUACCGACAUCACAGCAGUACAUGUUUAUACUAUACACAUGCCUAACACGGGGGGCGGGGAGGGGAUUGUAACAAAAUUGCAAGAAGUAAUCAAUGGUAGAAAUGAUCCUUUACCAACCCAACAUUCUUCCUGCAGCAUGCCCCUUCUACUCUGCUAAUAGAACCUCAAUUUGUUCAGCUACUAGUAGAAAUCUUUUGACUUUAGGGAGAGAAGACCCCCUACUCUGGCCAUAAGGAAUGAAUUGUGAUUCGCCUAGAGAACAUAUAGUAAUCUCAUUCUCUUAAGCAUUAUUCACAAUAGCCAAGACUUGGAAGCAACCCAAGUGCCCAUCAACA
Equus caballus (horse) is the source of this 2102-nucleotide non-coding RNA. NCBI's taxonomy places the organism in Eukaryota, Metazoa, Chordata, Mammalia, Perissodactyla, Equidae. The record is from RefSeq and is a predicted model, not a curated record.